RNAcentral lists this ribosomal RNA (216 nucleotides) under Klebsiella pneumoniae subsp. pneumoniae KPNIH9. RNAcentral describes it as "partial 16S ribosomal RNA". It matches the Rfam family "Bacterial small subunit ribosomal RNA", at positions 1 to 214 of the family's 1533-position model. The record is from RNAcentral. RNAcentral also lists the same sequence under 1 other name. Lineage: Bacteria; Pseudomonadati; Pseudomonadota; Gammaproteobacteria; Enterobacterales; Enterobacteriaceae.
ACUUAAAUUGAAGAGUUUGAUCAUGGCUCAGAUUGAACGCUGGCGGCAGGCCUAACACAUGCAAGUCGAGCGGUAGCACAGAGAGCUUGCUCUCGGGUGACGAGCGGCGGACGGGUGAGUAAUGUCUGGGAAACUGCCUGAUGGAGGGGGAUAACUACUGGAAACGGUAGCUAAUACCGCAUAACGUCGCAAGACCAAAGUGGGGGACCUUCGGGC